Molecule: ribosomal RNA, 384 nt
Filed under: uncultured prokaryote
Description: bacterial SSU rRNA
Rfam family: Archaeal small subunit ribosomal RNA
Source: RNAcentral
GCGAAAACUUUACAAUGCUGGCAACAGCGAUAAGGGAACCUCGAGUGCCAGGUUACAAAUCUGGCUGUCGAGAUGCCUAAAAAGCAUUUCAUAGCAAGGGCAGGGCAAGACCGGUGCCAGCCGCCGCGGUAACACCGGCGGCUCGAGUGGUAACCGUUAUUAUUGGGUCUACAGGGUCUGUAGCCGGCCGGAUAAGUCUCUUGAGAAAUCUGGCAGCUUAACUGUCAGGCUUUCAGGAGAUACUGUCUGGCUCGAGGCCGGGAGAGGCGAGAGGUACUUCAAGGGUAGGGGUUAAAUCUUGUAAUCCUUGAAGGACCACCAGUGGCGAAGGCGUCUCACCAGAACGGACCUGACGGCAAGGGACGAAAGCUAGGGGCUCGAAUC